Molecule: ribosomal RNA, 598 nt
Filed under: uncultured organism
Description: bacterial SSU rRNA
Rfam family: Bacterial small subunit ribosomal RNA
Source: RNAcentral
GGACGAACGCUGGCGGCGUGGUAUGACAUGCAUGUGAACGAGAAGCUCCCUUCGGGGAGUGGAGAGUGGCGCACGGGUGAGUAACACGUGAGCAACCUGCCGGGAAGCCCGGGAUAGCCCGCCGAAAGGAGGAUUAAUACCGGAUGUGGCCACCCUGCGAUUGCGGGGGAAGCUAAAGGAUUAUUCACUUCCCGAGGGGCUCGCGGCCCAUCAGCUUGUUGGUGAGGGUAACGGCCCACCAAGGCGACAACGGGUAGCUGGUCUGAGAGGAUGGUCAGCCACACUGGAACUGAGACACGGUCCAGACACCUACGGGUGGCAGCAGUCGAGAAUCAUUCGCAAUGGGGGAAACCCUGACGAUGCGACGCCGCGUGGAGGAUGAAGGCCUUAGGGUUGUAAACUCCUGUCAAGAGGGAAUAAGCAAGUGAAGGUACCCCUAGAGGAAGGGGCGGCUAAUUCCGUGCCAGCAGCCGCGGUAACACGGAAGCCCCGAGCGUUGUUCGGAUUCAUUGGGCGUAAAGGGUGCGUACGCGGCGCGGAAAGUCCGGCGUGAAAGGCAGAGGCUCAACCUCUGGACUGCGUUGGAUACUUCCGUGCU